Molecule: ribosomal RNA, 376 nt
Filed under: uncultured bacterium
Lineage: Bacteria
Description: bacterial SSU rRNA
Rfam family: Bacterial small subunit ribosomal RNA
Source: RNAcentral
AUACGUAGGGAGCGAGCGUUGUCCGGAUUUACUGGGUGUAAAGGGUGCGUAGGCGGCUCUGCAAGUCAGGUGUGAAACCCCUCGGCUUAACUGAUGGACUGCAUUUGAAACUGUGGGGCUUGAGUGUAGUAGAGGCAGACGGAAUUCCCGGUGUAGCGGUGAAAUGCGUAGAGAUCGGGAAGAACACCAGUGGCGAAGGCGGUCUGCUGGGCUCUAACUGACGCUGAGGCACGAAAGCAUGGGUAGCAAACAGGAUUAGAUACCCUGGUAGUCCAUGCCGUAAACGAUGAUUACUAGGUGUGGGGAGUCUGACCCUCUCAGUGCCGGAGUUAACACAAUAAGUAAUCCACCUGGGAAGUACGACCGCAAGGUUAAA